GCUGUGUAAAGGGUAUAGGGUAGUGGUGUCUGUGUGAGAGAGGGCUGUGUUAAGGGUAAAGGGCAGUGGUGUCUGUGAGAGAGAGGGCUGUGUUAAGGGUAUAGGGUAGUGGUGUCUGUGUGAGAGAGGGCUGUGUUAAUGGUAUAGGGUAGUGGUGUCUGUGUGAGAGAGGGCUGUGUUAAGGGUAAAGGGCAGUGGUGUCUGUGAGAGAGAGGGCUGUGUUAAGGGUAUAGGGUAGUGGUGUCUGUGUGAGAGAGGGCUGUGUUAAGGGUAAAGGGCAGUGGUGUCUGUGAGAGAGAGGGCUGUGUUAAUGGUAUAGGGUAGUGGUGUCUAUCAGAGAGAGGGCUGUGUUAAGGGUAAAGGGUAGUGGUGUCUGUGAGAGAGAGGGCUGUGUUAAGGGUAAAGGGUAGUGGUGUCUAUGAGAGAGGGCUGUGUUAAGGGUAAAGGGUAGUGGUGUCUAUGAGAGAGGGCUGUGUUAAGGGUAAAGGGCAGUGGUGUCUGUGAGAGGGCUGUGUUAAUGGUAUAGGGUAGUGGUGUCUAUCAGAGAGAGGGCUGUGUUAAGGGUAAAGGGUAGUGGUGUCUGUGAGAGAGAGUGCUGUGUUAAGGUAAAGGGUAGUGGUGUCUAUCAGAGAGGGCUGUGUUAAGGUAAAGGGUAGUGGUGUCUAUCAGAGAGGGCUGUGUUAAGGGUAAAGGGUAGUGG
This 700-nucleotide long non-coding RNA is filed under the name Salmo salar (Atlantic salmon). Its description in RNAcentral is "lncRNA (ENSSSAG00000115127.1)". The record is from RNAcentral. Lineage: Eukaryota; Metazoa; Chordata; Actinopteri; Salmoniformes; Salmonidae.